Molecule: long non-coding RNA, 230 nt
Filed under: Carica papaya (papaya)
Lineage: Eukaryota; Viridiplantae; Streptophyta; Magnoliopsida; Brassicales; Caricaceae
Description: long non-coding RNA (CPAP_LNC014259)
Source: RNAcentral
ACUCAAAAAUAAGCUCCACAUUGUGCUCCCAUUCAAGAUAAGCAUUUGGUUUUGAUGCUCCUAAUGUUUUUAUCAAGAUCGUUUCGACCCCUACCAUAAUUUCGACAUUCAUUGACCAAAGUAGCUUGGUCAUCAAAUUCUUCCUCCAGUUCCUCAUCAAAAGGUGGUGUUGGAAGUCUUCUUGCCCCUGGAUUGGUUUGGGAAGCUUCCCCUCUCAUGGAAUUUAACUC